AAAGUCGUAACAAGGUUUCCGUAGGUGAACCUGCGGAAGGAUCAUUAUCGUUGGGCUUCGGCCCAUUCGAGAUAACACCCUUGCCUUUUUGAGUACCUUUUCGUUUCCUCGGCAGGCUCGCCUGCCAAUGGGGACCCUAAAAAACACUUUGCAGUACCUGUAACAGUCUGAAAAACAAACAAAUAAUUAAAACUUUCAACAACGGAUCUCUUGGUUCUG
This 219-nucleotide unclassified non-coding RNA is filed under the name Ascomycota sp. RNAcentral describes it as "partial contains small subunit ribosomal RNA, internal transcribed spacer 1, and 5.8S ribosomal RNA". The stretch from base 1 to 47 matches the Rfam family "Eukaryotic small subunit ribosomal RNA", at positions 1785 to 1831 of the family's 1831-position model. The record is from RNAcentral. Lineage: Eukaryota; Fungi; Ascomycota.